RNAcentral lists this long non-coding RNA (987 nucleotides) under Marmota monax (woodchuck). Lineage: Eukaryota; Metazoa; Chordata; Mammalia; Rodentia; Sciuridae. The record is from RNAcentral.
CAUACCUGGGGUACAGGAGUGGAAUUGGCUGGCCUCUGUGCACUGAAAGUUCCUAUGGGAAACAGAGCCCAGCCCCUUGCCUGAGCCCCUUUGGCUGCCCGAAACUUGAUAUCUGGCAAUGGACUUAGGCCUUGUGCAGACUUUGCUCUGCUUGAUCCCCUCCCUUCCCACCUCUGCCCUCUUGACUCGCAUGCUGCCCCUAACCCAACCCAGCCUCCCAGAACCCUGACCCUUUGUGCUCCAGUCUUCAGACCUGGCUCCUCGCCUAGGCCCCUGACUGCAUUCGUUCUUCGUGUGGAGUAGUGUCACAUGGCUUCACAUGGUAUCUCUUCAUGUGGGGUGGGAAGGGGGGUCCCUUUCUUUUGCCCCCUAUCUCACUCCCCUCAGUACCUUUGCAUUGCCCACCUGCCCACUGUCUCCUCAUUCUUGUGUCACCUCUUCCUCCCCUUCCCUGCUUGCCACUUGUGCAGUUCCCUAUUUGUUGGGUCUCUCAUCAUCUUGGGUCAGGUCUGUCCCUUGCCUGGACUCCUUGCUUGGUUCCUGGCUCUCGCGCCUCUCCACACCACUGGGACCUCGUGUGAAGCCCUCCCCUCGCCUUCCUUCUGGCCCCCUUUCCCUUGCCAGCCACCUUUGCCCAGUUCCUGGCUUUGUUUCCUAUAAGCCAAUGCAGCUUAUAGGAAACAGAGCCCUGCCCCUGGCCUGGGCCCUUUGCUCUCCCUGGGCCCUUGGUCCUGCCCCCGGAGCACUGAAAGCUGGCAGUGGCCCUGGGCUUGGAGCCUGCUUCCUCCAUGCGGGAUCCCCUGCCUUUCUCCCCACCCUUGUCCACUUACCUGAGGCCCUGCUCCAGCCCUUGGCUCUUCAUUCUCUGGCCUGGCUCCUCACUUGAUCCUCUUGUGGCCCUUCUUGCUCAGGGUUUCCCUCAGGCCCCUCUCUAGGGCUGCUUCCCUGCUCCUCUUGGAUUCCCUGUACUGCAGUACCCUAGUGCAG